GCUCAGAUCAGGCCUGCUUCUGAUAGGAGGGGGUUUAAAAUGAAGAAUUUCUUGCUGGUGUAGUUGUUUUGUACCAUAAAUUCCAUCUCUGCUCCAACCAAGCCUGGGAUUUUUAAAUCUGGGUUCCUACAAAGACCCCUUAAAAUUGGUGGACUUUCAUUCAUUAUAUCAUAAUUCCUUCAUUUAUUUAUUGAGCACUUAUUGUGUGCUCUGCACUAUACUAAUCCACAGCCUCCUAACUCCAAUUCUACAGCCAUCCUGACUCCAGGACUUGAUCAACACCAUAACUGCAUGACAGCCAAGACUAACCAACUUCCACAAGGGAAUCUUUGAGAAGAAAACCCACCAACAACUUUCCCCCUGCCCGCAUCCCAGAGGAAGACUGACCAAGCAGGUGGAGAGGGCAAAGGGAAGGUGAGAAGGGAAAACCAAAUGGCAUUUACAUUUAGCAGUCCCUAUUUUCUGCCAAGUUAGGCUCUGCUUUCACACCCAGUCAUCUCUCAGAAUGGAACCAAGCCCUCUGUACUGUUGAAGUGGCUGCUUCCCAAGCAGCUUACUCUGAUAAAAUCUG
Ornithorhynchus anatinus (platypus) is the source of this 571-nucleotide long non-coding RNA. RefSeq lists it as uncharacterized. The transcript has 3 exons. The record is from RefSeq and is a predicted model, not a curated record. NCBI's taxonomy places the organism in Eukaryota, Metazoa, Chordata, Mammalia, Monotremata, Ornithorhynchidae.